RNAcentral lists this ribosomal RNA (730 nucleotides) under uncultured bacterium. RNAcentral's name for it is "bacterial SSU rRNA". It matches the Rfam family "Bacterial small subunit ribosomal RNA", at positions 771 to 1501 of the family's 1533-position model. The record is from RNAcentral.
AACAGGAUUAGAUACCCUGGUAGUCCACGCCGUAAACGAUGUCGACUUGGAGGUUGUGCCCUUGAGGCGUGGCUUCCGGAGCUAACGCGUUAAGUCGACCGCCUGGGGAGUACGGCCGCAAGGUUAAAACUCAAAUGAAUUGACGGGGGCCCGCACAAGCGGUGGAGCAUGUGGUUUAAUUCGAUGCAACGCGAAGAACCUUACCUACUCUUGACAUCCAGAGAACUUUCCAGAGAUGGAUUGGUGCCUUCGGGAACUCUGAGACAGGUGCUGCAUGGCUGUCGUCAGCUCGUGUUGUGAAAUGUUGGGUUAAGUCCCGCAACGAGCGCAACCCUUAUCCUUUGUUGCCAGCGGUUAGGCCGGGAACUCAAAGGAGACUGCCAGUGAUAAACUGGAGGAAGGUGGGGAUGACGUCAAGUCAUCAUGGCCCUUACGAGUAGGGCUACACACGUGCUACAAUGGCGCAUACAAAGAGAAGCGACCUCGCGAGAGCAAGCGGACCUCAUAAAGUGCGUCGUAGUCCGGAUUGGAGUCUGCAACUCGACUCCAUGAAGUCGGAAUCGCUAGUAAUCGUGAAUCAGAAUGCCACGGUGAAUACGUUCCCGGGCCUUGUACACACCGCCCGUCACACCAUGGGAGUGGGUUGCAAAAGAAGUAGGUAGCUUAACCUUCGGGAGGGCGCUUACCACUUUGUGAUUCAUGACUGGGGUGAAGUCGUAACAAGGUAACC